CCGACCUUAGCUCAGUUGGUAGAGCGGAGGACUGUAGUAUGUGCAGAAUAAUCCUUAGGUCGCUGGUUCGAAUCCGGCAGGUCGGA
Molecule: transfer RNA, 86 nt
Filed under: Macleaya cordata
Lineage: Eukaryota; Viridiplantae; Streptophyta; Magnoliopsida; Ranunculales; Papaveraceae
Rfam family: tRNA
About the family: Transfer RNA (tRNA) molecules are approximately 80 nucleotides in length.
Source: Rfam by way of RNAcentral